UGUGGGAGGGGGCUUGCUCCCGAUAGCGGUGUGUCAGCCAGCCUAUUCAAAGCUGAUUCACCGCCAUCGGGAGCAAGCCCCCUCCCACA
Molecule: unclassified non-coding RNA, 89 nt
Filed under: Pseudomonas palleroniana
Lineage: Bacteria; Pseudomonadati; Pseudomonadota; Gammaproteobacteria; Pseudomonadales; Pseudomonadaceae
Source: RNAcentral